RNAcentral lists this ribosomal RNA (253 nucleotides) under uncultured bacterium. RNAcentral describes it as "partial 16S ribosomal RNA". It matches the Rfam family "Bacterial small subunit ribosomal RNA", at positions 524 to 776 of the family's 1533-position model. The record is from RNAcentral.
UACGGGGGGGGCAAGCGUUGUUCGGAAUUACUGGGCGUAAAGGGCCAGUAGGCGGCCAACUAAGUCCGACGUGAAAUCCCAAGGCUUAACCUUGGAACUGCGUCGGAUACUGGAUGGCUUGAAUUCGGGAGAGGGAUGCAGAAUUCCAGGUGUAGCGGUGAAAUGCGUAGAUAUCUGGAGGAACACCGGUGGCGAAGGCGGCAUCCUGGACCAACACUGACGCUGAGGAGCGAAAGCCAGGGGAGCAAACGGG